This 450-nucleotide ribosomal RNA is filed under the name uncultured bacterium. RNAcentral's name for it is "bacterial SSU rRNA". It matches the Rfam family "Bacterial small subunit ribosomal RNA", at positions 354 to 796 of the family's 1533-position model. The record is from RNAcentral.
GUGGGGAAUUUUGGACAAUGGGCGCAAGCCUGAUCCAGCAAUGCCGCGUGCAGGAAGAAGGCCUUCGGGUUGUAAACUGCUUUUGUACGGAACGAAACGGCUCUGGUUAAUACCCGGGGCUAAUGACGGUACCGUAAGAAUAAGCACCGGCUAACUACGUGCCAGCAGCCGCGGUAAUACGUAGGGUGCAAGCGUUAAUCGGAAUUACUGGGCGUAAAGCGUGCGCAGGCGGUUUUGUAAGACAGGCGUGAAAUCCCCGGGCUCAACCUGGGAAUGGCGCUUGUGACUGCAAAGCUGGAGUGCGGCAGAGGGGGAUGGAAUUCCGCGUGUAGCAGUGAAAUGCGUAGAUAUGCGGAGGAACACCGAUGGCGAAGGCAAUCCCCUGGGCCUGCACUGACGCUCAUGCACGAAAGCGUGGGGAGCAAACAGGAUUAGAAACCCUGGUAGUCC